GGAUUGCAGACCGCACCCCCUGGGCGCUGCUCUACUUUUUAAUUCCCCACCCCGCCCCCCAUCCCCUUUAGGCACUGGCUCGGGUGGUGGUGGAAAGCCCCUGAAGUGCAUUCCGCACUUGGUAUCUCCCUUAUUGUUUUGAAGCUAGAUCUCAGGGAGGUGUGUGUUUAAACCAGGAAAGUCGGUGUGUGUAUGUCUGUGGUUGUGAGUGAUUGAAGUGGGCUGGGACUGCGCUGCAUUAUCUCCCUGUCCCUUCCACCUACGAAUUCCUGGAGCUCUCUUGGGUUGCACACGCUGGGAUUGUCUCCUACAAGUAGGUCUUCGCCUUCACAGCUGGUCCCGAGACAGCGUGGUCUGCCUCCCCCAAGCCCCCAUUGUGUCUUGCUAGUUUGGGGUGCAUACAGCUGUUGAUCUCUAUUGCAGUUUGGCUUGUUUGCGGGGGAAACAUGAGCCCCGAGCGAGUAUUCACCGCGUCCUCCUUUUCUCCCGCCUCUCACAAUGGCUUAGUUCUCUUUCAAGCUUGCAAAGAACCAUCCAGGCUGCAGGUACUUUUUCCCUCCUCCGUUUUCAAAAAUAACCGCCCAUCACUCCCGGGAGAGCUGAUGAUAGAAGGAUUUUCCUUGCUGCCCAAAGAAGCCUGAGUUGUUUCUCCAUCUCAAUGAGGAAAUGUGAUCGGAAAUCUCUGGGUUUUGCUUUUGUGAAUUGUUUUUUUAUCGGAUAGUUUUAACUGGCGGGGACCAUAAUUCCCCCAUUUUAAAGUCAGCCAGUGCUGUGGCCAAGUCUGUUAACACCCUUGGAUGUCAGUUUUCUCCUCAGUAAAAUGGGGCAAGUUCCCACCUUGUAGAACUAGUGCCAGGAUAAGAAAUCAUAUUUGUAGAUUGCCUGGCAUAUAAUAAGAAUUCAAUAAGAAAUAGGUAUUAUUAAUAAGCUGGAAUCAUAAUUACUGGUGUGAGCUCUUUAAAGAUGCUACUAAAAAAAAAAAAAAUCACAGCAGCUACAUUGGAUACCAAGAUACUAAAUCAACUAAAGCUGGGUAUUCAUAUAAUGAACUUAUUUGUUGGGAAAAUGGCACCUUGCUUUUCAUACUUCUUGUGUUAUGUUUGGCCUGCCUAACUUUAAGCUACUAUUUUACAACUUCGUUUAAUGUGCUGUAACAUUAGCAGACGUUGUGCACCUUUGCUGUGCUAUACCAUGAUUCCAGCUCCUUAAUCCUUUCCUGGAAUCUUUCUCCAACCAGACUGGUGUAGAAGAGGCCAAAGUUUCACAUAAUUUCUCUCCAAGCUAUACCUGAGAUGCCACUCUAACAGACAGCAUAGGAAAGCUGGGUCCUAAUCUGAACUGCAUAGGGUCAGGUUGCCAGUCCUAAAUGCUUUUUUAAAAAGAAGAAAAAGGAUAAUUUGCCAGGCAGGGAAAACAUGGAGCCUCCCAGGGGAUGGCUUCUGGAGCUUGGUGGCAGGUGGCCCUGGUAAGGGCUGGGAUGUCUUCUCCACUCCAGUAUUGCUGCCCCAUUAGUCUAUGGAGGGAGCUUUCCUCAACACAGGUCAGAGGUCAGCCUUUAUUGGGUCUGCCUGAAUCUUUAGACCUGUCUCACUUUUCAAAUUAACUGUGAGGACCACCAAGGUAGUUAUGGUCCACCAAAGUACCCCCUUCCCAUGAGGUGGAGGAGGGGCUAGAGGAGCUCAAGCAACUGGGAAACCCUGAGGGAGUAGCAGUUUCUGUCCAGUACACUCCAUUGCCCCAGAGCCCAUACAGGAAGAGGCAUGACUGGGUCUUGGCAUCCGGACUGUCUCAGAUAUCCUCAAUGAUGAGCCUCAGCUUUUCUGUGAAUCCUAGGAACCACUGAUACAUCAUUAGCUGACAUAUCAUUAGUUUGCUUUUUGUUCAUUCACUUAUCGUUUAAUCAAUUUACCAGUUACUUAUUGUGUCUUUUGUGCAGAGCACAGCCUCAGUGUCUGUGUUUGUUGUGAAAGAUUUUGCUUGCAGAUGAUUCUUGUAGAAUUAAAGGUCUUGCUUCAUGUUCUUUUUUAAGGCUAAUUGGAUAAAAAAUAAGGCCUAGAGUAAUGAGAGGCCAGACUUGCAUCUCUAUAUGUUAUCUCCGCAGGGGAAUGUCAGAAAUGCACCUGCCCAUCUAGGAGAGAAGGCAGUAGCUGGUAGAUCCUGCAUCUGUCCAGAUCCCAUCUGACUGGGUCACAGGCCUUUGAUGAAAGUGAGAGGAGGUGACUGCCCAGGCCCAAAGCACCCACUGAGGGGAUAAGCUUGGGGCGCAGCCACAGAGCAUUCUGUGGUGGUGCUGACAUUCUUAACACCUUCCCUCCCCACCCCAGUUCCCUUCUUUUAGAUUCUUUGGACUUAGGCAGAGCAAGGAGAAACAGUGAGGCCACUUCUGGAGCAGCUGGUAUUCUUUGACGAGUGGUAGAGCCCAAGAAUGGUGAGAAGAAAGGCUCUGAGAGAGGUGCCCCUGGCAGCCUGUGCCAAUGCACAGAGUGCAGGUUGUCCAGUCAGAGACACCUGCAGCCAGAGCUCUGGAAAGGAGCUACUGCCCUGUGAUGUGGGCCAGUUACUUCGCCUCUUUGAUCUUUGGUUUUCUCAUUGUAAAUGGAGACUACAGCGCCUCACAGAAUUACAGUAAAAAUGAGGGGAAAAAAUGUAUCUGAUUUGAGCUCAGUGUUCUGCAGUUAGUUGGUGGGCAGUGAAUGGCUGCUGUUAUGAUGACGAGAUGAACCAGUAGUGUGUGCAUUUCUCCACACACAGAGAAAAGCCUCAACGGAAACACUCCCAAAAGUUAAUAGUGCCAAGCACUUGGGGGAAAGCUACCAGGAUUUUUUUUUUUGGUCUAUUCUUUUCCUUAUAUUCUAAAUUUUGUGCAAUGCUCAUAUAAUACAUUUAUCAUCAAGGAAAUAUUUUUUUUAAUUACUACUAAAAUCAUAUUAAUAGUUAACAUGUAUUGAACCUUUACUUUGAGCUUUACAUGCAGGAUUCGAUUUCACCUUUUCUGCAACCCUCUGAAAUAAAAACUAUUAUUAUCCCCAUCAUUCAGAUGAGGAAAUUAAGACUCAGAGAGUUAAAUGACUUGCCCAAGAGUCCAGAACUAGUAACUGUAGAAGUGCUGCUUUGUCUGAUGGUAAAGGCUGUGCCUUGAACUCCUCUGUCUGACACACUGGAUGCCUCUUAGAGCGCUGCAGGGCCUGCUGCUGAGGUGAGUCUGCAUGAAUGUGUAGUAUAGACGUCUGUGCUCACUGCUGUGGUUCUCUCUCUGAGGGGCCUCUCUGUUCACUGCAAUCCUAUCUUAGCCCCUUUGAUCAGGGAGAUCCUGGGAGGGAGGAAAGUGGGAAUGGGUUGGGUCAUCGCCCUUCAGCAUCUUGGAAAACGCUUAUGGGAGCUCUUCCUCAAAAGCAAGGAGAAAGUGGCUCUGCGUGAAGAAUAAUUGAGAAUAAUGAUGAUGAGGGAAUGUGCCCCUGACCUUUGACCUUUCCCCAGAGAGGCAUUGGUCAAAGACCCCCUGGGCCUGUCUGCAGCCAGGCUAACAAGCAGAUUAAAAGAGGUCAGUGGGUUAAAGGGCUCUGUCUGCCUCCCUGUAUUAUAUUGCUCCCUCCCAAAGGCCAGGAUGCUGUGGGCCCUGCAGAGUGCCUGGGCUCCCAGGUGCUGUGUUGAAAAGACAAAUGCUCCUUUAGCUUUUUAUUUUUAAUCCCUAACUUUAUGGAGACUUAAUUGCCAAAUAAAAAUUAUAUAUAUUUAAAAUCUACAAUGUGAUGAUUUGAUAUAUGCAUACAUUAUGAAAUGAUUCCCACUAUCAAGCUAAUUAUCACAUCCAUCAGUUCUCUUCAGCUCUUUACAUGUACAGACUGAUUCUCAUCUUAACAACUUCUGCUUUUUUUCCUGACUUAAGCUCGUUAACACUCACAUGAAGGUACUGCCAGCUUCGGCUAGAAAAUAUCAGUCCUUUCCACUCUCAGGGACUUCUAGGACUUUCUCCUGGUUUCCACUAAUUGUAACUGGCAUAGAUUUGAUUGUCUCCCAGGUACUGAAAUCAUGUCCAUUUUCUGCUAAUUCCCAAAAUCUCAAGGGCAAGAAAUUCUAUUCUUUCCUUGAGAAAGCAGGUUGGAAUACACAGGAACAGUUCCAUAUGCAUUUCAGCUGUGGGUAAUAAGCCAUCAUAGCCUUCAUGUACUUUUCUGAAUUGAAACCAAAGCAUGUGAGGAAGGUUUUGACUUUGGUUAAUUACUAGGAAAACAAAGAAGGGAAUAUUGGGAGGGGAGAAGAGAGAGCCUCUGAGAUUAGUAAGUGACUUCCUCUUAAUGACAUUUUGAGGUAACACAUUUUCCUUCAUUUUUGUCUUAAUAGAAAAGUAGAGAUUUAUAAUUGGUCCUUUUGGUGACCUGGCAGUCCUUGCAUUGCUUAUGCAAUUGUUUUUGUGUGAAGCCAGCAAAAAAAAAAAAAAAA
Long non-coding RNA from Sapajus apella (tufted capuchin), 4440 nucleotides. RefSeq lists it as uncharacterized. The transcript is spliced from 2 exons. NCBI's taxonomy places the organism in Eukaryota, Metazoa, Chordata, Mammalia, Primates, Cebidae. The record is from RefSeq and is a predicted model, not a curated record.